AUUGAACGCUGGCGGCAUGCCUUACACAUGCAAGUCGAACGGCAGCACGGGUGCUUGCACCUGGUGGCGAGUGGCGAACGGGUGAGUAAUACAUCGGAACGUACCUUAUCGUGGGGGAUAACGCAGCGAAAGCUGUGCUAAUACCGCAUACGCCCUGAGGGGGAAAGCGGGGGAUCGAAAGACCUCGCGCGAUUAGAGCGGCCGAUGCCUGAUUAGCUUGUUGGUGGGGUAAAAGCCCACCAAGGCGACGAUCAGUAGCUGGUCUGAGAGGACGAUCAGCCACACUGGGACUGAGACACGGCCCAGACUCCUACGGGAGGCAGCAGUGGGGAAUUUUGGACAAUGGGGGAAACCCUGAUCCAGCAAUGCCGCGUGAGUGAAGAAGGCCUUCGGGUUGUAAAGCUCUUUUGUCAGGGAAGAAACACCGGCUCUAACACAGUCCGGGAAUGACGGUACCUGAAGAAUAAGCACCGGCUAACUACGUGCCAGCAGCCGCCGUAA
This 501-nucleotide ribosomal RNA is filed under the name uncultured bacterium. Its description in RNAcentral is "partial 16S ribosomal RNA". It matches the Rfam family "Bacterial small subunit ribosomal RNA", at positions 29 to 523 of the family's 1533-position model. The record is from RNAcentral.